RNAcentral lists this ribosomal RNA (465 nucleotides) under uncultured bacterium. RNAcentral describes it as "partial 16S ribosomal RNA". It matches the Rfam family "Bacterial small subunit ribosomal RNA", at positions 28 to 507 of the family's 1533-position model. The record is from RNAcentral.
GACGAACGCUGGCGGCGUGCUUAACACAUGCAAGUCGAACGGAAAGGCCCUGCUUGCAGGGUACUCGAGUGGCGAACGGGUGAGUAACACGUGGGUGAUCUGCCCUGCACUUCGGGAUAAGCCUGGGAAACUGGGUCUAAUACCGGAUAGGAGCCAUUUUUAGUGUGAUGGUUGGAAAGUUUUUUCGGUGUAGGAUGAGCUCGCGGCCUAUCAGCUUGUUGGUGGGGUAAUGGCCUACCAAGGCGGCGACGGGUAGCCGGCCUGAGAGGGUGGACGGCCACAUUGGGACUGAGAUACGGCCCAGACUCUUACGGGAGGAAGAAGUGGGGAAUAUUGCACAAUGGGCGCAAGCCUGAUGCAGCGACGCCGCGUGGGGGAUGACGGCCUUCGGGUUGUAAACUCCUUUCGCUAGGGACGAAGCUUUUUGUGACGGUACCUAGAUAAGAAGCACCGGCUAACUACGUG